Molecule: ribosomal RNA, 505 nt
Filed under: uncultured bacterium
Lineage: Bacteria
Description: partial 16S ribosomal RNA
Rfam family: Bacterial small subunit ribosomal RNA
Source: RNAcentral
GACGAACGCUGGCGGCGUGCCUAAUACAUGCAAGUCGAACGCACAGUUUAUAUUUUAGCUUGCUACACCAUAUACUGUGAGUUGCGAACGGGUGAGAAACGCGUAGGUAACCUGCCUGGUAGCGGGGGAAAACUAGUGGAAACGAUAGCUAUUACCGCAUAAUAUUAAUUAUUGCAUGAGAAUUAAUUGACAGGUGCAAUUGCACCACUACCAGACGGACCUGCGUUGUAUUAGCUAGUAGGUGAGGUAACGGCUAACGUAGGCGACGAUAGAUAGCCGACCUGCGAGGGUGAUCGGCGACACUGGGCCUGGGACACGGGCCACACUCCUGCGGGCUGCAGCAGUAGGGAGUCUGCGGCAAUGGACGAAAGGCUGAACGAGCAACGCCGCGUGCGUGGAGAAGGUUUUCGGCUCGUGAAGUUCUGUCGUCAGAGGAGAACGGGUGUGAGAGUUGAAUGUUCACACUGUGACGGUAGCUUACGAGAAAGCGACGGCUAACUACGUG